RNAcentral lists this ribosomal RNA (496 nucleotides) under uncultured bacterium. RNAcentral's name for it is "partial 16S ribosomal RNA". It matches the Rfam family "Bacterial small subunit ribosomal RNA", at positions 28 to 506 of the family's 1533-position model. The record is from RNAcentral.
GAUGAACGCUGGCGGCGUGCCUAAUACAUGCAAGUCGAGCGAACGGACGAGAAGCUUGCUUCUCUGAUGUUAGCGGCGGACGGGUGAGUAACACGUGGAUAACCUACCUAUAAGACUGGGAUAACUUCGGGAAACCGGAGCUAAUACCGGAUGAUAUUUUGAACCGCAUGGUUCAAAAGUGAAAGACGGUCUUGCUGUCACUUAUAGAUGGAUCCGCGCUGCAUUAGCUAGUUGGUAAGGUAACGGCUUACCAAGGCAACGAUGCAUAGCCGACCUGAGAGGGUGAUCGGCAACACUGGAACUGAGACAGGGUCCAGACUCCUACGGGAGGCAGCAGUAGGGAAUCUUCCGCAAGGGGCGAAAGCCUGACGGAGCAACGCCGCGGGAGUGAUGAAGGUCUUCGGAUCGUAAAACUCUGUUAUUAGGGAAGAACAUAUGUGUAAGUAACUGUGCACAUCUUGACGGUACCUAAUCAGAAAGCCACGGCUAACUACGU